This 73-nucleotide transfer RNA is filed under the name Candidatus Carsonella ruddii. RNAcentral's name for it is "tRNA-Val". It matches the Rfam family "tRNA". From Rfam's summary of the family: Transfer RNA (tRNA) molecules are approximately 80 nucleotides in length. Their secondary structure includes four short double-helical elements and three loops (D, anti-codon, and T loops). The record is from RNAcentral. RNAcentral also lists the same sequence under 2 other names. Lineage: Bacteria; Pseudomonadati; Pseudomonadota; Gammaproteobacteria; Oceanospirillales; Halomonadaceae.
AGGUAAUUAACUCAAUAGGUAGAGUAUCAGUUUUACAUACUGAAAGUUAUAAGUUCAAAUCUUAUAUUACCUA